GACGAACGCUGGCGGCGUGCUUAACACAUGCAAGUCGAACGGAAAGGCCCUGCUUUUGUGGGGUGCUCGAGUGGCGAACGGGUGAGUAACACGUGAGUAACCUGCCCUUGACUUUGGGAUAACUUCAGGAAACUGGGGCUAAUACCGGAUAGGAGCUCCUGCUGCAUGGUGGGGGUUGGAAAGUUUCGGCGGUUGGGGAUGGACUCGCGGCUUAUCAGCUUGUUGGUGGGGUAGUGGCUUACCAAGGCUUUGACGGGUAGCCGGCCUGAGAGGGUGACCGGCCACAUUGGGACUGAGAUACGGCACAGACUCCUACGGGAGGCAGCAGCGGGGAAUAUUGCACAAUGGGCGGAAGCCUGAUGCAGCAACGCCGCGUGCGGGAUGACGGCCUUCGGGUUGUAAACCGCUUUCGCCUGUGACGAAGCGUGAGUGACGGUAAUGGGUAAAGAAGCACCGGCUAACUACGUG
This 468-nucleotide ribosomal RNA is filed under the name uncultured bacterium. RNAcentral's name for it is "partial 16S ribosomal RNA". It matches the Rfam family "Bacterial small subunit ribosomal RNA", at positions 28 to 507 of the family's 1533-position model. The record is from RNAcentral.